AAAGCUUUAAGUUAUAAAACUAUUAACCUUCAAAGUUAAAAAUAUGAGAUAUCAUAAGCUUUA
This 63-nucleotide transfer RNA is filed under the name Ochterus marginatus. Its description in RNAcentral is "tRNA-Trp". The record is from RNAcentral. Lineage: Eukaryota; Metazoa; Arthropoda; Insecta; Hemiptera; Ochteridae.